This 726-nucleotide long non-coding RNA is filed under the name Rattus norvegicus (Norway rat). RNAcentral's name for it is "long non-coding RNA NONRATT031089". Lineage: Eukaryota; Metazoa; Chordata; Mammalia; Rodentia; Muridae. The record is from RNAcentral.
CUUUUAUCCAUUUUUUAAAUUCAUAGAGCUAGAAAGAAGAUAAAUAAGGAAAAGGCAACUCCAGACAUCCAUCCGGCAUGUAGCACAUACACCAUAUACCACAAAGAAUAUACAAUUUUCUCAACUGCACAUAGAACAUUAUUCAGAACAGAUUGCAUGUUAGAACAAAAGAGAAAAAAUAAGUUAAAAUAUCCUAAAAAAAGUAUGUUUACUAAAACUACAAGCCUAGAUAUCAGCAACGUUACCAGUCUCUUUCUGGAUACCAUUAGCUCCUUGGUUCUUGUGAUGAGAUUCACAGAGAGAAUUCAGGUAAGAUGCACAGAGCACAGUGUAGAAGAGGAGCAGUUUAUUCUAAGGUGGAAAAAGCUCUCAAAGAAUCAGAGUAGAUGGCCAAAGAGCACAUUGCAGAGCAGAGUACAUUCCCAAAGGGGUGAAAGUAGGGGUAGAAAGGGGCAGUGGUAGGAGAGAGUCCAGUAUCAAGAGGUGAGUAUAGUCAGUGACCAACGGGGGCAUUUCAAAGGAGAGUGGAGUCUCAACAGGUAAUAGACAGGCUUUAUACUAUUUCUAUAGUGUCAAAAAUGAGAUUCAAUUGCAUUAAUUCUUAGAGGAAGGAUCACUGGUAUGUUGUUUUCUGGCACUGUUUCUGGAAAGAUUUGGACAAACAUCCACAUAUGAUAUAUGCCAAAUCAAUAGUAGACCAAAUUAAAGAUACUUCCAAAAGUCAAA